This is a non-coding RNA of Jatropha curcas, 2020 nucleotides long. The record is from RefSeq and is a predicted model, not a curated record. Lineage: Eukaryota; Viridiplantae; Streptophyta; Magnoliopsida; Malpighiales; Euphorbiaceae.
GUUAUCAAAAUAGUGAAAUACUCACUUAAGCAAUUCCUCCAUUUCCUCUCGUUCUUCACGCCUCUUGCUCUUCUCUUUUCCUUUUCUGCAACAAUGACAUGAUCUCAUCUUGAUCAACAACAAGAAGAAAAUACUCCCAAUCACAACAAUACACAGAUUCAAAAUUACCCAUCCCAACCCCAAAAACUCUGCUCUCGUCUCCUUUUUCACCCUCCAUACCCAAUACAUCAGUUUUAAAACUCUAAUCCAAGAAAGGUAUUAGGAGACUUGACUCAAAGAGAUGAAACGGAACGUUCUAAACAAAACGCAACACAGCAAACAAAAGAAGGAAUUAAGCAACACGUCUGCUACUCCUGAUCACGCACCUGAGAAUCAUGUUGCUGCUGUGCAUAAUGUUACUUCUGCUACACGGCAAGCAUUGCCUCUUGCACAGACUGGUUUGAGCAACAACUCAGGCACUUCUUGUGUUAUUUAGGAUCAGAUUACAUUAAAGAGGAUUGGUUUAGCUGAAGUGCAAUCUGGUCUUUAUGCUCUCAUUUGACCAACUUCAGAACAUAUGGUGAACUCAAUUUAUGCAUUUACAGCUUUUACAUCUUCUACUUUAACACUUCCUUCAUUUCCAAUGGAAGCUCUACGACAUUACAGAUUAGGACGUUUGUCCCAUUCAAGGUUGAUGCAAAUAAGUUAGCAAGUGUUUUUUAUUAAAGCUGUUUCCCAUGAAUUGCCUUGUGAUUGUUCUCAUCUAGCUAAGCAGAAAAGGCUUCCUUUUCCUCAAAGUGAGUCUAUUGCUAGUUCUGCUUUUGAUUUGGUGCAUAUGGACAAAUGGGGACCACUUUGAAUUCCUUCUAUACAUGGACAUAGAUAUUUGUUAACUAUUGUUGAUGAUCAUGCAAGAUUUGUUUGGAUUUUGUUAAUCAGAUCAAAAACAGAAGUGAGAUCUCUUGUUCAUACUUUUGUUACCAUGAUUAAAACUCAGUUUGGGGUGAAAAUUAAGCAAAUCAGGACAGAUAAUGGUGUUCAAUUUCACAUGAAUGAAUUUUUCAAUAACAAAGGCAUAUUACAUCAGACUUCUUAUGUUGAGACACCACAACAGAAUGUUGUUGUUGAAAGAAAGCACCAGCACAUAUUGAAUGUGACAAGAGCCUUGCUGUUUCAAGUCAUUUGCCUAAGAAUUUUUGGUGUUAUGCAGCUCCUCAUGCAUUAUUUUUGUUAAUAGACUUCCUACACCCUUGCUACAGAACCAUUCUUCAUAUAAACAACUAUAUCAUACUCUUCCACGUUACAAAGAGUUUAGGGUAUUUGGUUGUUUGUCAUAUGAUUCUACUCUCUCUUCUCAUAGACAUAAGCUGGAUCCUAGAGCAAGAAGGGCAUUAUUUAUGGGGCAUAAAUCAGGAACUAAAGGUUUUUUACUUACGGAUUUACAAUCUAGGGAAGUGUUUCUUUCCAGGAAUGUUGUGUUUUAUGAAAAUCAAUUUCCCUUUUCAUUACCUCACUCUAUUUCAUAUGAGUUUUCUCAACUGACAUAUUUUGCUUGCCUUUCUCCUUGUUUCGAUGCAUUUCCUUUUGACACUACAUCUCUAGUUCCUUCUUCCACUACUAAUCCAUUACCUUCUUCUCAUACCCCACCUUUGCAACCACUUUAACCUAUUAUACCCAACACAUUAUCUUAAUGACCAUAAAGAAACAGAAGAGCACCUCAAUACCUGCAAGACUACUAGUGCAACCUCACUACCACUUCCUCUAUUUCCAAAACUCACAUCCCCUUUCUUUCAUUCUAUCCUACCAUAACUUGUCCCCUGCUUACUCCCAUUUCAUUGCAAACAUUAGCAUCACUUUUGAACCCAAAAAUUACAAGGAGGCCAUUAAGCAUUCAGUCUGGCAGGAUGCCAUGAACACUGAGUUGUCUGCUCUUAAACAAACCAAAACAUGGACUCUUGUUUCUUUACUCCAAGGCAAGACUCUAAUAGGGUGCAAGUGGGUGUAUAAGGUGAAGUACAAAUCUGAUGGCACAAUAGAGAGA